GAUGAACGCUGGCGGCGUGCCUAAUACAUGCAAGUCGAGCGAACAGACGAGGAGCUUGCUCCUCUUACGUUAGCGGCGGACGGGUUAGUAACACGUGGAUAACCUACCUAUAAGACUGGGAUAACUUCGGGAAACCGGAGCUAAUACCGGAUAAUAUAUUGAACCGCAUGGUUCAAUAGUGAAAGACGGUUUUGCUGUCACUUAUAGAUGGAUCCGCGCCGCAUUAGCUAGUUGGUAAGGUAACGGCUUACCAAGGCAACGAUGCGUAGCCGACCUGAGAGGGUGAUCGGCCACACUGGAACUGAGACACGGUCCAGACUCCUACGGGAGGCAGCAGUAGGGAAUCUUCCGCAAUGGGCGAAAGCCUGACGGAGCAACGCCGCGUGAGUGAUGAAGGUCUUCGGAUCGUAAAACUCUGUUAUUAGGGAAGAACAAAUGUGUAAGUAACUAUGCACGUCUUGACGGUACCUAAUCAGAAAGCCACGGCUAACUACGUG
RNAcentral lists this ribosomal RNA (497 nucleotides) under uncultured bacterium. RNAcentral describes it as "partial 16S ribosomal RNA". It matches the Rfam family "Bacterial small subunit ribosomal RNA", at positions 28 to 507 of the family's 1533-position model. The record is from RNAcentral.